Molecule: non-coding RNA, 59 nt
Organism: Mus musculus (house mouse)
Lineage: Eukaryota; Metazoa; Chordata; Mammalia; Rodentia; Muridae
Source: Rfam
CCACCUUAAGAGCGCGCUCGCCAGCCUGGGCGGAGCGGCUCCCGGCGCCGAGACCAAUG